RNAcentral lists this ribosomal RNA (380 nucleotides) under uncultured eukaryote. RNAcentral describes it as "partial 18S ribosomal RNA". It matches the Rfam family "Eukaryotic small subunit ribosomal RNA", at positions 592 to 976 of the family's 1831-position model. The record is from RNAcentral.
CAAUGGCGUAUAUUAAAGUUGUUGCAGUUAAAAAGCUCGUAGUUGGAUUUGUGGCUGUCACGGGCGGCCUAUCACUUAGUGUUAGUGCUUGCCUGUGUCGCCAUCCUUGGGUGGAGCCCGUGUGGCAUUAGGUUGUCGUGCGGGGGAUGCCCAUCGUUUACUGUGAGAAAAUUAGAGUGUUCAAAGCAGGCUUAUGCCAUUGAAUAUGUUAGCAUGGAAUAAUAAGAUAGGACCUCGGUACUAUUUUGUUGGUUUGCGCACCGAGGUAAUGAUUAAUAGGGACAGUUGGGGGUAUUCGUAUUUCAUUGUCAGAGGUGAAAUUCUUGGAUUUCUGAAAGACGAACUACUGCGAAAGCAUUUACCAAGGAUGUUUUCAUUAA